Molecule: transfer RNA, 67 nt
Filed under: Cerion watlingense
Lineage: Eukaryota; Metazoa; Mollusca; Gastropoda; Stylommatophora; Cerionidae
Description: tRNA-Ala
Source: RNAcentral
AGUUAACAUACUUUAUUAUUAGAAGGUUUAAUUUGCGUUUAAAAAGUGGGUAAGCCCCUGUUAACUU